GCUUUCGUAGAUCAAAGAUAGAUCACUUCCGAUUCAUAAUUGAGAUCUUGAAGGGUUCCGUGUGAGAGAUGUGGGUUCGAAUCCCACCGAAGGCA
This is a non-coding RNA of Mycena leptocephala, 95 nucleotides long. The record is from the annotation of a GenBank genome assembly. Lineage: Eukaryota; Fungi; Basidiomycota; Agaricomycetes; Agaricales; Mycenaceae.